RNAcentral lists this ribosomal RNA (425 nucleotides) under uncultured bacterium. Its description in RNAcentral is "bacterial SSU rRNA". It matches the Rfam family "Bacterial small subunit ribosomal RNA", at positions 354 to 796 of the family's 1533-position model. The record is from RNAcentral.
GUGGGGAAUCUUGCACAAUGGGGGAAACCCUGAUGCAGCGACGCCGCGUGAGCGAUGAAGCCCUUCGGGGUGUAAAGCUCUUUCGACAGGAACGAUAAUGACGGUACCUGGAGAAGAAGCUGCGGCCAACUACGUGCCAGCAGCCGCGGUAAUACGUAGGCAGCGAGCGUUGUUCGGAGUUACUGGGCGUAAAGCGUGCGUAGGCGGUUCGCUAAGUUUGGUGUGAAAUCUCCCGGCUUAACUGGGAGGGUGCGCCGAAUACUGGCGGGCUCGAGUGUGGGAGAGGGAAGCGGAAUUCCUGGUGUAGCGGUGAAAUGCGUAGAUAUCAGGAGGAACACCUGCGGUGAAGACGGCUUCCUGGACCACUACUGACGCUGAGGCACGAAAGCGUGGGGAGCAAACAGGAUUAGAUACCCGAGUAGUCC